This 278-nucleotide ribosomal RNA is filed under the name uncultured prokaryote. RNAcentral describes it as "partial 16S ribosomal RNA". It matches the Rfam family "Bacterial small subunit ribosomal RNA", at positions 524 to 801 of the family's 1533-position model. The record is from RNAcentral.
UACGGAGGAUCCGAGCGUUAUCCGGAUUUAUUGGGUUUAAAGGGUGCGUAGGUGGAUUGGUAAGUCAGUGGUGAAAGUUUGCAGCUUAACUGUAAAAGUGCCUUCGAAACUGGUUUCCUUGAGUGUAGAUGAAGUAGGCGGAAUUUGUGGUGUAGCGGUGAAAUGCAUAGAGAUCGGGAGGAACACCAGUGGCGAAGGCGGGUAACUGGACUGCAACUGACGCUGAGGCGCGAAAGUGUGGGGAGCAAACAGGAUUAGAUACCCGGGUAGUCCCUGAG